Molecule: transfer RNA, 71 nt
Filed under: Candidatus Nealsonbacteria bacterium CG_4_8_14_3_um_filter_37_23
Lineage: Bacteria; Candidatus Nealsoniibacteriota
Description: tRNA-Pro
Rfam family: tRNA
About the family: Transfer RNA (tRNA) molecules are approximately 80 nucleotides in length.
Source: RNAcentral
CGGGGUGUAGUCUAAUGGUAGGAUACCAUCUUGGGGUGAUGGCGAACCGGGUUCAAUUCCCGGCACCCCGA